GACGAACGCUGGCGGCGUGCCUAAUACAUGCAAGUAGAACGCUGAAGGAGGAGCUUGCUUCUCUGGAUGAGUUGCGAACGGGUGAGUAACGCGUAGGUAACCUGCCUGGUAGCGGGGGAUAACUAUUGGAAACGAUAGCUAAUACCGCAUAAUAGUAGAUGUUGCAUGACAUUUGCUUAAAAGGUGCAAUUGCAUCACUACCAGAUGGACCUGCGUUGUAUUAGCUAGUUGGUGGGGUAACGGCUCACCAAGGCGACGAUACAUAGCCGACCUGAGAGGGUGAUCGGCCACACUGGGACUGAGACACGGCCCAGACUCCUACGGGAGGCAGCAGUAGGGAAUCUCCGGCAAUGGACGGAAGUCUGACCGAGCAACGCCGCGUGAGUGAAGAAGGUUCUCGGAUCGUAAAGCUCUGUUGUAAGAGAAGAACGAGUGUGAGAGUGGAAAGUUCACACUGUGACGGUAUCUUACCAGAAAGGUACGGCUAACUACGUG
Molecule: ribosomal RNA, 495 nt
Filed under: uncultured bacterium
Lineage: Bacteria
Description: partial 16S ribosomal RNA
Rfam family: Bacterial small subunit ribosomal RNA
Source: RNAcentral